GUAGAUUAUAAAAACUUUUUUGAGCAUCACAUCCACAAACGACGUUAUCAAACAGGCAAGGCAAACACUUCACAAAAAGAACACAAAAUGCACAGGCACAAUGCUACCGUCAGACACACUAAACGGUUUACAUAAAUUCAACAACAAGAUGGCAUACUAUUUGGUGGAACCAAACAAGCAGGACUUCCGCCUCGUUAAAAAUUUGUGUCACGCGAACUCAUCAAGCCAGAGCCGGACGAAAGCAAUUAUGUUGCAAAGACAAAAAGAGGAAGGCGAAGAAACACAACAUUGAAUAACGUUCAUCACACAGGUUGACGUAAGGAAAAAGAAUGGUGUUACAUCAGAAGUUUUACCAAUGACCAUUAGAAGGCGAUGCACGUGUUUGUACUGGCCCAUUGGGAUCUUGGCACUACUUUUACCUCCGCCCAGCCAGCUGCACUUACAUAAGAAAGUGGCACUAAAUAAUUUUAUUUCUGCAUCGUUCAUUCGAUUUUCUGGAGUAACAGAAGCAAGGGAAUUAGAUAUUCUUUUAGCAGUAGCGAUAAAAUUACUUUUAUCGCUCAACAAUCGUUCAAAAUUGUCUAACGCUUCUUUGUUUUCAA
Anopheles gambiae (African malaria mosquito) is the source of this 602-nucleotide long non-coding RNA. RefSeq lists it as uncharacterized. NCBI's taxonomy places the organism in Eukaryota, Metazoa, Arthropoda, Insecta, Diptera, Culicidae. The transcript has 4 exons. The record is from RefSeq and is a predicted model, not a curated record.